This 462-nucleotide ribosomal RNA is filed under the name uncultured bacterium. RNAcentral's name for it is "bacterial SSU rRNA". It matches the Rfam family "Bacterial small subunit ribosomal RNA", at positions 44 to 518 of the family's 1533-position model. The record is from RNAcentral.
ACGCCUAACACAUGCAAGUCGAACGGAGUAGCAAGAGGUUACUUGAGCUAACUUAGUGGCGGACGGGUGAGUAACACGUGAGUAACCUGCCUUCAGUGGGGAAUAACGGCUGGAAACGGUACGCUAAUACCGCAUAAUGUCUUGGAGUCGCAUGACUCUGAGACCAAAGAUUUAUCGCUGAAAGAUGGACUCGCGCCCGAUUAGCUAGUUGGUGAGGUAAUGGCUCACCAAGGCGACGAUCGGUAGCCGGACUGAGAGGUUGAACGGCCACAUUGGGACUGAGACACGGCCCAGACUCCUACGGGAGGCAGCAGUGGGGGAUAUUGCACAAUGGGGGAAACCCUGAUGCAGCCGAUGCCGCGUGUAGGAAGACGGUCCUCUGGAUUGUAAACUACUGUCUUCAGGGACGAUAAUGACGGUACCUGAGGAGGAAGCUCCGGCUAACUACGUGCCAGCCGCUGC